Molecule: ribosomal RNA, 492 nt
Filed under: uncultured bacterium
Lineage: Bacteria
Description: partial 16S ribosomal RNA
Rfam family: Bacterial small subunit ribosomal RNA
Source: RNAcentral
AGUGAACGCUGGCGGUAGGCCUAACACAUGCAAGUCGAACGGCAGCACAGUAAGAGCUUGCUCUUACGGGUGGCGAGUAACGGACGGGUGAGGAAUACAUCGGAAUCUACUUUUUCGUGGGGGAUAACGUAGGGAAACUUACGCUAAUACCUCAAACGACCUACGGGUGAAAUCAGGGGAUAUUCGGACCUUUCGCGAUUGAAUGAGUCGAUGUCGGAUUAGCUAGUUGGCGGGGAAAAGGCCCACCAAGGCAACCAUCCGUAGCUGGUCUGGGAGGAUGAUCAGCCACACUGGAACUGAGACACGGUCCAGACCCUUACGGGAGGAAGAAGUGGGGAAUAUUGGACAAUGGGCGCAAGCCUGAUCCAGACAUACCGCGUGGGUGAAGAAGGCCUUCGGGUGGUAAAGCCCGUUUGUUGGGAAAGAAAAGCAGCAGGUUAAAAACCCGAUGUUCUGACGGUACCCAAAGAAUAAGCAACGGCUAACUUCGUG